CUUUUCCUUAAAAGCAAUGUGAGCCAAUCACGGCUCCGCCUCACCGACCUGCUCUUUGCCGCGGGACAUCCUCGACAACAUUCCACAUAGCUGCCAGGUCUUCCAGCCAAGGAUGAUGGCGCCCCUAGAGAAGGAGCCUGGCAACAUGCGACAACCGAUCUCGACCGUCACAGCCUCGUAGAGGUCUUUUUGUCGUCCCAUUUUUUGUUUUUUGUACUAUCUGAGAUGCCAAUAUAGAUAGUGACAUGUACACACAGCAUAUCUCCAAGGUUACAUGAGCGACAAUACAAAAGGUGGCAUGCCACAUAGUAUAGGGAUCAAACAUUAAGUGUUUUUAUAAUCUCAAGCUCAAAUGCACCCGCAUGAACACAACAAAUUUCGAAGAAGAAAAAUAAAAAAAAUCUGAAUUGUUUUGGAUAAACAUCAACAAGUUCUCUAACAUCCUGCACAUUUUCUCCCUGGAAAGACAUUAGUAGAGGUGUGUGCAAAAAAAUUGCUCAAAAUUUUAGUCCCAAAAUUUUGUAUUUUGUACUAUCUGAGAUGCCAAUAUAGAUCGUGACACGUACACAUAGCAUAUCUCCAAGGUUACAUGAGCGACAAUACAAAAGGUAUCAAACAUUAGCUACACACGGCUGGUACGUACGUACGUAUAACGUAUUUACAGGGAUAGUACAAAGCUAGCUUAGCAAAGUAAUUAAAGAGAUACCAUGCAAAAAAAAGUAAUUAAAGAGAUGAUGAUCAG
Molecule: long non-coding RNA, 742 nt
Filed under: Triticum aestivum (bread wheat)
Lineage: Eukaryota; Viridiplantae; Streptophyta; Magnoliopsida; Poales; Poaceae
Description: long non-coding RNA (TAES_LNC008114)
Source: RNAcentral